GCGGCCCUGUUCCUGAACAGGAAGCGGAAGCAGGAAGGAACUGAGAACACCAGCAUCUGCUGCCGCCCUGAAUCAGCGUUAGCAUGUGGAGGCAACCUCAGCCCCCAGUUUUUGAAGAAGGUGAUUCAGAUUCAGACACAGGAAUUAUGGUGACGGUAGAAAUGGACUGGAAGGUUCGUUCCCCUUGCCCACCAAGACUCCAGAGCAGAUGGUGUGUCCGGAAUUGGUGGGUUCUUGGUCUCACUGACUUCAAGAAUGAAGCCGCGGACCCUCAAGGUGUUACAGCUCUUAAGGUUGCGCGUCUGGAGUUUGUUCCUUCUGAUGUUCGGAUGUGUUUGGAGUUUCUUCCUUCUGGUGGGUUCGUAGUCUCGCUGGCUCAGGAGUGAAGCUGCAGACCUUCACGAGAGUUAAGAGAGCAAAUCAAGACAUGAAAAUGAUCCCCCCGUGGAAUAUGCCCCUGCUAUUGAGAGAAUAAACUACUGAUCUACGCAACAGCAUGGAUGAAUCUCAGAGACAUUUUGCUAACUGAGAGAAGUCAGACACAGAAGACAUAGUCAAUGAUUCCAUGUGUAUGAAAUUUCUAGAAAAGGCAAAACUAUAGAGACAGAAUGGCUGAUCAAUGUUGUGGCUGAUCAAAUCGAGGCACAGAAUGAUCAAUGGUUGCCUGGAGCUGCGGGUGGGAACAGGAGUGACCUCAAAGGAGCAAGGGGAACUUUUGGGGGUGGAUGGGAAUAUUGGGAAACUGGACUGUGAUGGUUGCUAAGUGCGUCAGUUCACGGAAACCUAUCACACUGUACCCUCACAAUGAGUGACGUUUAUGGUUUGUAAGUUAGACCUCAAUAAAGCUGUUUGUAAUCAUUUUA
Molecule: long non-coding RNA, 863 nt
Organism: Homo sapiens (human)
Lineage: Eukaryota; Metazoa; Chordata; Mammalia; Primates; Hominidae
Source: Ensembl